RNAcentral lists this unclassified non-coding RNA (470 nucleotides) under Oryza sativa (Asian cultivated rice). RNAcentral describes it as "partial microRNA MIR487i precursor". The record is from RNAcentral. Lineage: Eukaryota; Viridiplantae; Streptophyta; Magnoliopsida; Poales; Poaceae.
GCAGGCUAUAAGCCGGCUGUAACCAUAUAUCGAGAAGAAAAGAGAUGAGAGAAGAAAGCGGGCUACAGAUUUAUAGCCGGCUGUAACACGGACUCCAAGAUAUUAUGUGUGUAUGAGAGGUGGGACCGUAUAUUAAUCGUGUAGUAUAUUUUUAUAGUUAACUAUUGUAUGAAUGGGCUAUUAGAUUGGCUAUAGAUGUUUUGGAGCCAAUAGUUAGCUAUACUAUUGACCUUGCUCUUAGAGCAAGUUAAAUAGUAUAGCCAAUUGGUAGCUCCAAAUCAUCUGUAGCCAAUGUAAUAGCCAAUUCAUUCAAUAGUUGCUUACUAUACCAUUCAUAUCUGGCCCCAUUUGUCAUACACACAUUACGUCUUGGAGUCCGUGCUGCAGCUGGCCAUAGAUCUGUAGCCCGCUGCUCUUCUCUCUCUUCUUUUAUCUCUUUAAAAUAUGUUUAUAGCUGGCUUAUAGUUGUC